This 253-nucleotide ribosomal RNA is filed under the name uncultured bacterium. RNAcentral describes it as "partial 16S ribosomal RNA". It matches the Rfam family "Bacterial small subunit ribosomal RNA", at positions 524 to 776 of the family's 1533-position model. The record is from RNAcentral.
UACGUAGGGGGCAAGCGUUGUCCGGAUUUAUUGGGCGUAAAGAGCGUGUAGGCGGUUUGGUAGGUCCGUUGUGAAAACUCGAGGCUCAACCUCGAGACGCCGAUGGAAACCAUCUGACUAGAGUCCGGAAGAGGAGAGUGGAAUUCCUGGUGUAGCGGUGAAAUGCGCAGAUAUCAGGAAGAACACCCGUGGCUAAGGCGGCUCUCUAGUACGUGACUGACGCUGAGACGCGAAAGCGUGGGGAGCGAACAGG